CAACCUCUGGCAAGAGUUGUGAAUGUUG
RNAcentral lists this non-coding RNA (28 nucleotides) under unclassified sequences. RNAcentral describes it as "L19-Flavobacteria ribosomal protein leader". It matches the Rfam family "L19-Flavobacteria ribosomal protein leader". The record is from RNAcentral.